GACGAACGCUGGCGGCGUGCUUAACACAUGCAAGUCGAACGGAAAGGCCCUGCUUUUGUGGGGUGCUCGAGUGGCGAACGGGUGAGUAACACGUGAGUAACCUGCCCUUGACUUUGGGAUAACUUCAGGAAACUGGGGCUAAUACCGGAUAGGAGCUCCUGCUGCAUGGUGGGGGUUGGAAAGUUUCGGCGGUUGGGGAUGGACUCGCGGCUUAUCAGCUUGUUGGUGGGGUAGUGGCUUACCAAGGCUUUGACGGGUAGCCGGCCUGAGAGGGCGACCGGCCACAUUGGGACUGAGAUACGGCCCAGACUCCUACGGGAGGCAGCAGUGGGGAAUAUUGCACAAUGGGCGGAAGCCUGAUGCAGCAACGCCGCGUGCGGGAUGACGGCCUUCGGGUUGUAAACCGCUUUCGCCUGUGACGAAGCGUGAGUGACGGUAAUGGGUAAAGAAGCACCGGCUAACCACGUG
Molecule: ribosomal RNA, 468 nt
Filed under: uncultured bacterium
Lineage: Bacteria
Description: partial 16S ribosomal RNA
Rfam family: Bacterial small subunit ribosomal RNA
Source: RNAcentral